This 460-nucleotide ribosomal RNA is filed under the name uncultured bacterium. RNAcentral's name for it is "partial 16S ribosomal RNA". It matches the Rfam family "Bacterial small subunit ribosomal RNA", at positions 338 to 795 of the family's 1533-position model. The record is from RNAcentral.
CCUACGGGCGGCAGCAGUGAGGAAUAUUGGUCAAUGGACGCAAGUCUGAACCAGCCAAGCCGCGUGCAGGAAGAAGGCUCUAUGAGUUGUAAACUGCUUUUGUAGGAGGGUAAACGCAGAUACGCGUAUAUGUUUGCAAGUAUCCUACGAAUAAGGAUCGGCUAACUCCGUGCCAGCAGCCGCGGUAAUACGGAGGAUGCAAGCGUUAUCCGGAUUUAUUGGGUUUAAAGGGUGCGUAGGCUGUCUGAUAAGUUAGAGGUGAAAUCCCGCGGCUCAACUGCGGAAUUGCCUCUGAUACUGUUCGGCUAGAGUGUAGUUGCGGUAGGCGGACUGUGUGGUGUAGCGGUGAAAUGCUUAGAUAUCAUACAGAACUCCGAUUGCGAAGGCAGCUUACCAAGCUACUUCUGACGUUGAGGCACGAAAGCGUGGGUAGCAAACAGGAUUAGAUACCCUUGUAGUC